CCCAGACUCCUACGGGAGGCAGCAGUGAGGAAUAUUGGUCAAUGGUCGGGAGACUGAACCAGCCAAGCCGCGUGAGGGAUGAAGGUACAGAGUAUCGUAAACCUCUUUUGUCAGGGAACAAAGGCGGGGACGUGUCCCCGGAUGAGUGUACCUGAAGAAAAAGCAUCGGCUAACUCCGUGCCAGCAGCCGCGGUAAUACGGAGGAUGCGAGCGUUAUCCGGAUUUAUUGGGUUUAAAGGGUGCGUAGGCGGGCUGUUAAGUCAGCGGUAAAAUGUCGGGGCUCAACCCCGGCCUGCCGUUGAAACUGGCGGCCUCGAGUGGGCGAGAAGUAUGCGGAAUGCGUGGUGUAGCGGUGAAAUGCAUAGAUAUCACGCAGAACUCCGAUUGCGAAGGCAGCAUACCGGCGCUCAACUGACGCUCAUGCACGAAAGUGUGGGUAUCGAACAGGAUUAGAUACCCGCGUAU
RNAcentral lists this ribosomal RNA (465 nucleotides) under uncultured bacterium. Its description in RNAcentral is "bacterial SSU rRNA". It matches the Rfam family "Bacterial small subunit ribosomal RNA", at positions 330 to 793 of the family's 1533-position model. The record is from RNAcentral.